This 515-nucleotide ribosomal RNA is filed under the name uncultured bacterium. Its description in RNAcentral is "partial 16S ribosomal RNA". It matches the Rfam family "Bacterial small subunit ribosomal RNA", at positions 28 to 523 of the family's 1533-position model. The record is from RNAcentral.
GAUGAAUGCUGGCGGUGUGCCUAAUACAUGCAAGUCGAGCGAAUGGAUUAAGAGCUUGCUCUUAUGAAGUUAGCGGCGGACGGGUGAGUAACACGUGGGUAACCUGCCCAUAAGACUGGGAUAACUCCGGGAAACCGGGGCUAAUACCGGAUAACAUUUUGAACCGCAUGGUUCGAAAUUGAAAGGCGGCUUCGGCUGUCACUUAUGGAUGGACCCGCGUCGCAUUAGCUAGUUGGUGAGGUAACGGCUCACCAAGGCAACGAUGCGUAGCCGACAUGGGAGGGUGAUCGGCCACACUGGGACUGAGACACGGCCCAGACUCCUACGGGAGGCAGCAGUAGGGAAUCUUCCGCAAUGGACGAAAGUCUGACGGAGCAACGCCGCGUGAGUGAGGAAGGCUUUCGGGUCGUAAAACUCUGUUGUUAGGGAAGAACAAGUGCUAGUUGAAUAAGCUGGCACCUUGACGGUACCUAACCAGAAAGCCACGGCUAACUACGUGCCAGCCGCCGCAGUAA